AUACGUAGGUGGCAAGCGUUGUCCGGAUUUACUGGGUGUAAAGGGCGUGUAGGCGGAGAUGCAAGUCAGGAGUGAAAUCUAGGGGCUCAACCCCUAAACUGCUUUUGAAACUGUAUCCCUUGAGUAUCGGAGAGGCAGGCGGAAUUUCUAGGGUAGCGGGGAAAUGCGUAGAUAUUAGGAGGAACACCAGUGGCGAAGGCGGCCUGCUGGACGACAACUGACGCGGAGGCGCGAAAGCGUGGGGAGCAAGCAGGAUUAGAUACCCUGGUAGUCCACGCUGUAAACGAUGAAUACUAGGUGUGGGGGGACUGACCCCCUCCGUGCCGCAGUUAACACAAUAAGUAUUCCACCUGGGGAGUACGAUCGCAAGAUUGAAACUCAAAUGAAUUGACGGGG
RNAcentral lists this ribosomal RNA (396 nucleotides) under uncultured bacterium. RNAcentral's name for it is "partial 16S ribosomal RNA". It matches the Rfam family "Bacterial small subunit ribosomal RNA", at positions 523 to 918 of the family's 1533-position model. The record is from RNAcentral.